Molecule: ribosomal RNA, 253 nt
Filed under: uncultured bacterium
Lineage: Bacteria
Description: partial 16S ribosomal RNA
Rfam family: Bacterial small subunit ribosomal RNA
Source: RNAcentral
UACGUAGGGUGCGAGCGUUAAUCGGAAUUACUGGGCGUAAAGCGUGCGCAGGCGGUUCGCUAAGACCGAUGUGAAAUCCCCGGGCUUAACCUGGGAACUGCAUUGGUGACUGGCGGGCUAGAGUAUGGCAGAGGGGGGUAGAAUUCCACGUGUAGCAGUGAAAUGCGUAGAGAUGUGGAGGAAUACCGAUGGCGAAGGCAGGUCUCUGGGCUGACACUGACGCUCAUGCACGAAAGCGUGGGGAGCAAACAGG